AGAGUUUGAUCCUGGCUCAGAGCGAACGCUGGUGGUAUGCUUAACACAUGCAAGUCGAACGAGGAAUGGUAGCUUGCUAUCAUUGCCUAGUGGCGAACGGGUGAGUAACGCGUAGGAAUCUACCUAUCAGUAUGGGAUAACAUUCAGAAAUGAAUGCUAAUACCGUAUACGCCCUACGGGGGAAAGAUUUAUUUGCUGAUAGAUGAGCCUGCGUUGGAUUAGCUAGUUGGUGAGGUAAUGGCUCACCAAGGCGAUGAUCUAUAGCUGGUCUGAGAGGAUGAUCAGCCACACUGGAACUGAGAUACGGUCCAGACUCCUACGGGAGGCAGCAGUGGGGAAUAUUGGACAAUGGGCGACAGCCUGAUCCAGCAAUACCACGUGAAUGAUGAAGGCCUUCGGGUUGUAAAAUUCUUUUAGCGGGGAAGAUAAUGACUGUACCCGCAGAAAAAGCACCGGCUAACUUCGUGCCAGCAGCCGCGGUAAUACGAAGGGUGCAAGCGUCGCUCGGAAUUACUGGGCGUAAAGAGUAUGUAGGCUGUUCUGUAAGUUGAGAGUGAAAUCCCAAGGCUUAACCUUGGAGUGGCUUUCAAGACUGCAGGGCUAGAGUAAGGUAGAGGAUAGCGGAAUUCCUAGUGUAGAGGUGGAAUUCGUAGAUAUUAGGAGGAACACCAGGGGCGAAGGCGGCUAUCUGGGCCUUUACUGACGCUGAGAUACGAAAGUGUGGGGAGCAAACAGGAUUAGAUACCCUGGUAGUCCACACCGUAAACGAUGAGUGCUUGGUGUUGGAAUUUAUUUCAGCGCCGCAGCUAACGCGUUAAGCACUCCGCCUGGGGAGUACGGUCGCAAGGCUAAAACUCAAAGGAAUUGACGGGGACCUGCACAAGCGGUGGAGCAUGCGGUUUAAUUCGAUGAUACGCGAAAAACCUUACCAAUUCUUGACAUAUACACUAUGAUUGACAGAGAUGUCGUCUUCAGUUCGGCUGGGUGUAAACAGGUGUUGCAUGGCCGUCGUCAGCUCGUGUCGUGAGAUGUUGGGUUAAGUCCCGCAACGAGCGCAACCCCUAUCUCAUUUUUCCAACGGGUUAUGCCGGGAACUAUUGAGAGACUGCUGGUGUUAAACCAGAGGAAGGUGGGGAUGACGUCAGGUCAUCACGGCCCUUAUGAAUUGGGCUACACGCGUGCUACAAUGGUAUUUACAAAGAGUUGCGAUACCGCGAGGUGGAGCUAAUCUCAAAAAGAAUAUCUCAGUUCGGAUUGGACUCUGAAACUCGAGUCCAUGAAGCUGGAAUCGCUAGUAAUCGUGGAUCAGCAUGCCACGGUGAAUACGUUCCCGGGCCUUGU
Molecule: ribosomal RNA, 1341 nt
Filed under: metagenome
Description: bacterial SSU rRNA
Rfam family: Bacterial small subunit ribosomal RNA
Source: RNAcentral